This 404-nucleotide ribosomal RNA is filed under the name uncultured bacterium. RNAcentral describes it as "bacterial SSU rRNA". It matches the Rfam family "Bacterial small subunit ribosomal RNA", at positions 28 to 429 of the family's 1533-position model. The record is from RNAcentral.
GACGAACGCUGGCGGCGUGCUUAACACAUGCAAGUGGAGCGACGAACCGGGGCUUGCCCCGGGGCAGAGCCGCGAACGGGUGAGUAACACGUGGGUAACCCACCCCGAUGACCGGGACAACCCGAGGAAACUCGGGCUAAUACCGGAUGUGCUCCUUGACCCCGAGGUCAAGGCGUAAAGAUAGCUUCGGCCUUCGCAUCGGGACGGGCCCGCGGCCCAUUAGCUUGUUGGUGGGGUAACGGCCUACCAAGGCGACGANGGGUAGCUGGUCUGAGAGGACGAUCAGCCACACUGGGACUGAGACACGGCCCAGCCUCCUACGGGAGGCAGCAGUGGGGAAUCUUGCGCAAUGCGCGAAAGCGUGACGCAGCAACGCCGCGUGGGGGAAGACGGCCUGGUGUAAG